This 800-nucleotide ribosomal RNA is filed under the name uncultured bacterium. RNAcentral's name for it is "bacterial SSU rRNA". It matches the Rfam family "Bacterial small subunit ribosomal RNA", at positions 8 to 859 of the family's 1533-position model. The record is from RNAcentral.
AGAGUUUGAUCCUGGCUCAGAACGAACGCUGGCGGCAGGCUUAACACAUGCAAGUCGAGCGCCCCGCAAGGGGAGCGGCAGACGGGUGAGUAACACGUGGGAACGUGCCUUUCGGUUCGGAACAACUGCGGGAAACUGCAGCUAAAACCGGAUACGCCCUUCGGGGGAAAGUUUACGCCGAAAGAUCGGCCCGCGUCUGAUUAGGUAGUUGGUGGGGUAAUGGCCUACCAAGCCGAUGAUCAGUAGGUGGUCUGAGAGGAUGAUCACCCACACUGGGACUGAGACACGGCCCAGACUCCUACGGGAGGCAGCAGUGGGGAAUAUUGGACAAUGGGCGCAAGCCUGAUCCAGCCAUGCCGCGUGGAUGAAGAAGGCCCUAGGGUUGUAAAGUCCUUUCGUCAGGGACGAUAAUGACGGUACCUGAAGAAGAAGCCCCGGCUAAUUUCGUGCCAGCAGCCGCGGUAAUACGAAAGGGGCUAGCGUUGUUCGGAAUUACUGGGCGUAAAGCGCACGUAGGCGGCCUUGUAAGUUGGGGGUGAAAUCCCCGGGCUCAACCCGGGAACUGCCUUCAAGACUGCAAAGCUAGAGGAUGCGAGAGGUUGGCGGAAUUCCGAGUGUAGAGGUGAAAUUCGUAGAUAUUGGGAAGAACACCGGUGGCGAAGGCGGCUCACUGGUCCGUUCCUGACGCUAAAGCGCGAAAGCGUGGGGAUCAAACAGGAUUAGAUACCCUGGUAGUCCACGCUGUAAACGAUGAGUGCUAGGCGUCGGCAGGCUUGCCUGUCGGUGCCGCAGCUAACGCG